Ostrea edulis (European flat oyster) is the source of this 540-nucleotide long non-coding RNA. RefSeq lists it as uncharacterized. The transcript is spliced from 2 exons. The record is from RefSeq and is a predicted model, not a curated record. NCBI's taxonomy places the organism in Eukaryota, Metazoa, Mollusca, Bivalvia, Ostreida, Ostreidae.
CAUGGGUACUUCCGGUUAAUUUUGUUUACACUGGUAACAAAAUUGUUUUUGACAAAAUAUAGAUUUUGCGGCACAAACUGUCGCAAAUCAGAUAAAGGAUAGCAAGGGAUAUAUAUUUACUUGGGAAGAUGUCAAAGUUUACCUUUUCCCAAACCCGGGAAAAGCGUUCACGCAGAGGAAACGAUGGUGUCAUUUGUGUAGAAAACCACGAGCAGCCGAAAUUGAGUGCGAUUAUUACAUUCCGUGAAAGCUGAACCAACAAAGAAACAUCAUUGUUCUAGCCAGUUUGCUUAUAUUAACUUUUAGGAAAACCAAGAGGUUGAUAACAAUGGCUGAUCUGCAUAUAAUGACUGCUAGUUAUUGGCUGGUAUGCAGUGAAAGGGAGCUAAAAAGGAGUAAAAAGUUCAUAUCAGCCAGGUGAGAAUUAAUUUCUUCUUUUUUGUGUGUUAUACAUAUGUAAUUCUUUUCUUUUGCUGCUUCAAAUCUUGUGUAUUUGAAAAUUUUCAGUCUAAUAUUUGGCAAUGUUAUAGGUAGUGUGGU